This 257-nucleotide ribosomal RNA is filed under the name uncultured methanogenic archaeon. Its description in RNAcentral is "partial 16S ribosomal RNA". It matches the Rfam family "Archaeal small subunit ribosomal RNA", at positions 334 to 592 of the family's 1478-position model. Lineage: Archaea; Methanobacteriati; Methanobacteriota. The record is from RNAcentral.
AGCAGGCGCGAAAUCUUUACAAUGCGGGAAACCGCGAUAAGGGGACACCGAGUGCCAGCAUUUAUGUUGGCUGUCCACAUGUGUAAACGGCAUGUGUUAGCAAGGGCCGGGCAAGACCGGUGCCAGCCGCCGCGGUAACACCGGCGGCCCGAGUGGUAAUCACUUUUAUUGGGUCUAAAGGGUCCGUAGCCGGUUUGAUCAGUUCUUCGGGAAAUCUGACAGCUCAACUGUUAGGCUUCCGGGGAAUACUGUCAGAC